Molecule: signal recognition particle RNA, 266 nt
Filed under: Heliophilum fasciatum
Lineage: Bacteria; Bacillati; Bacillota; Clostridia; Eubacteriales; Heliobacteriaceae
Description: Bacterial large signal recognition particle RNA
Rfam family: Bacterial large signal recognition particle RNA
About the family: The signal recognition particle (SRP) is a universally conserved ribonucleoprotein involved in the co-translational targeting of proteins to membranes. Archaeal SRP consists of a 7S RNA and homologues of the eukaryotic SRP19 and SRP54 proteins.
Source: Rfam by way of RNAcentral
UCGUGCUAAGCGGGGCGUUAGCGGUGCCUUGUAACCUGCAAUCCGCUGUAGCAGGGUGGAAGCUCGCAUUGAGGGCCGAUCUUGUGGGGUCUGCCCCUGGUAAGUGGUGUUGACAAUUGGGUCUUGCGCAACGAAAACCUAUAAACCCCGCCAGGUCCGGAAGGAAGCAACGGUAAGUAGGCCCUUUCGUGUGCCGCAGGGUAGCCUGGUUCGAGCUAACUGCCAGGGUAACGCUCGGAAGAUUGUGUUCGAAGGCGAGUGCACGG